Molecule: long non-coding RNA, 511 nt
Organism: Xenia sp. Carnegie-2017
Lineage: Eukaryota; Metazoa; Cnidaria; Anthozoa; Malacalcyonacea; Xeniidae
Exons: 6
Source: RefSeq, a predicted model, not a curated record
ACCCAAAUCAGAAGUUAGUUUUCAUGGUAUGAUAACGGAUUACGCGAACGUUGUUAGCAAGAAGUUCACAUCAAAUAUUUAUGGUCUCGUUCCAUCGUCUUCUGAGAAGAGCAUAGACAUUGAAAAAUCUAGUGGUAGUACUGUUUAGAAUCCUUUCGAUACGAGAAAUGCUCGGGAUUUGUGAUUAUUGGUGAUCCUAUUUCACCUGAAGAUGUUCAGCAAGAACGACGUAUGAAGUUACUGUCGUUAAUUAACAAUAUAGCCCGGGAAAAAGGGUUAGAUGGCCAAAAUUAUAAAUGUAAUGGUUGUUCCAGACCAAUUGGAAUGGCCCAUGGAUGCUUUCGUUCAUGAUGAAAGAGCCAUAUUGUACAAGGAGGCUCGCGUUCAUUACGAGAGAGUUAUGAAAAAGUUACAUUGUAAAAGGUCUCAGCUCAGCACAACCCUUGUUUGAAGUUCCUAAAACCUUGAUCUACCCAAGAAAGAUCUCUGGUGGUAACAUGUUAGGUAUGGC